ACUAUUUUGGCAGAUUAGUGCCAUAGAUUUAGAAUCUAUAUAAGGAAUAGAUUUCCAAAUAGUA
This 64-nucleotide transfer RNA is filed under the name Siphlonurus immanis. RNAcentral's name for it is "tRNA-Leu". Lineage: Eukaryota; Metazoa; Arthropoda; Insecta; Ephemeroptera; Siphlonuridae. The record is from RNAcentral.